CAAAUUAAAGCUUUUAGAAGUAUUUUAUUUACAUUAAAAGGAUUAUUAAGGUUUAAUAUAAUUUGA
RNAcentral lists this transfer RNA (66 nucleotides) under Curculionoidea sp. 1 KM-2015. Its description in RNAcentral is "tRNA-Val". Lineage: Eukaryota; Metazoa; Arthropoda; Insecta; Coleoptera. The record is from RNAcentral.